RNAcentral lists this long non-coding RNA (1691 nucleotides) under Mus musculus (house mouse). Its description in RNAcentral is "predicted gene 6345". Lineage: Eukaryota; Metazoa; Chordata; Mammalia; Rodentia; Muridae. The record is from RNAcentral.
GCUUCCGGUGUCAUGGCAGCCUGAGGUCCAGGGAGUCGGUCAGGGCGCUGCAGGCCCCUCCCUGCGGAGCGGCGGGUCCGGGCGGGGAUGUGACGGCGGGCGCCGCGGGCCUGCCUCGCGCGUCGUGUCGGCUCGCGUGUCCUCCGCCCAGCCCGCACCAUGGCGGGGUUCGGCUGCGCGUGUGGCGCCGAGCCGCCGCGCUUCCUGAAGGCCUUCGGGCGGCUGUGGCAGGUCCAGAGCCGCCUGGGCAGCUGCUCGUCGGCCUCGGUGUACCGGGUGCGGUGCUGCGGCACCCCGGGCUCGUCCCCCGGCGCCCUCAAACAGUUCCUACCUCCGGGAACCACCGGGGCUGCGCUGAGCAGUUGCAGGGUCACAGGAACAUCGGUAAUUGUGGCUGUCCCCAUGUCCCCCAUGUCCCGGUCCAAGCAUAAUCGUCUUCGGCCUGGACCCUGGCCUUUGGUCCUGUAGGUGGAAGGUGUUAGCAUUCCGCUCCACAGUUACCUGGCAAAAGCCAGGUAGGCCUGACCCACUAUAAAAGGGGCUGCUUGCCCCUUCCUCCAUUUCUUGCCCUCCUGUCCUCUUGGUACCUUGUUCCUCUCUUGCUCUUUCCCUGCUUCCGUUACCCCUUCUCUGCCCAUUCACUCCCCCCACACACACCCCCUCUCCACGUGCUCAUGGCCGGCCUCUACUAAUCUACUCUCUUUCUCUGCCUCUACUAUUGUCCUAACUCCCCUCCCCAUGCCCUGAAUAAAGUCUAUUCUGUACUGUGCUGUUGUGUGGUUGGUCUCUCAGGGGGAAGGGAUGCCUUGGCAUGGUCCACUGAGACAUCCUCUUUCCUUAUCGUACCUCAUCAUACCUCUAUAGAACAUAUUCCCCCUUCUCUUUAUCUUUUUAUAAACAAGUCAGGAGAGGAUCCGGCCUCACUUUCAAUCUGGCUUUACAUUGCAGCUCAGUGAAGUAUACGGUGGCAAUGAUAUCAUAUAGUAAAUGUUUAGUUAAAAAGCCUGAUUUGCUUCAAGAGGCAGGGGCACUUUUUUACAAACUCAAGGAGCCUGCUUUAUUCAUUUACCUGGUUAUCAAUCCCAGUGCUGAAGCUUCCAGGUGGCCGAACAUUCAACUCUGGCAACUACCUACCGAAGAAAUAGGUCAGGUUUUGCAGCGACCAUGGUUACAAAAUGGCAUUUAUAAAUGCUGCCCUCUGUCCGGGGUAGCUAGUAUUUAUGCCAAGGUUCUUCCACGGAUAGUUUGUGAAGAAAAAUAAAUAAAUAAAAAGAGGUGACACUUCUUAACUAGACAUUGCAGAUGAAGAGAGAAAAUAAUAGGGAAGAAAGUCUUAAUUACAGUGUAGUACCUGGAAUGGUUGUGCAGUUCUUUGGCUGUCCUAGAUAGAACUCAGAAAUCUGCCUGCCUCUGCCUCCCGCACGCCACCACGCCCAGCGGUUGUGCAGUUCUAUAAUGCCUACAUGAGGGAAUCUGGAAUUCUAGGCCAGCCUCAACUACUGAGUGAUUGAGGGUGUCUAAAUGCUUGAGAUCCUGACAGUCAAACGAUGCACAGAGGGAGGGGGUGGGAGGAGGAGUAAUAAUUUAUAAUUGAUCAGAAUCCAUAGAAAUGUGAUAUAAUUAAAACCUUUUCUAUUUGAGGAAAAAUAACCAGCUCUAAAGGAGAAUACAUUUAAUUUUUUCUCAGCCUU